UACGUAGGCAGCAAGCGUUGUUCGGAGUUAUUGGGCGUAAAGAGCUCGUAGGCGGUCUGUCGCGUCUGGUGUGAAAAUCCAGGGCUUAACCCUGGACCUGCAUCGGGUACGGGCAGACUAGAGUGCGGUAGGGGAGAUCGGAAUUCCUGGUGUAGCGGUGAAAUGCGCAGAUAUCAGGAGGAACACCGGUGGCGAAGGCGGAUCUCUGGGCCGUAACUGACGCUGAGGAGCGAAAGCAUGGGGAGCGAACAGG
Molecule: ribosomal RNA, 253 nt
Filed under: uncultured bacterium
Lineage: Bacteria
Description: partial 16S ribosomal RNA
Rfam family: Bacterial small subunit ribosomal RNA
Source: RNAcentral